AUCUAUACUGUGAAACUGCGAAUGGCUCAUUAAAUCAGUUAUAGUUUAUUUGAUAGUACCUCUACCUGGAUAACCGUGGUAAUUCUAGAGCUAAUACAUGCUAAAAACCCCGACUUCGGAAGGGGUGUAUUUAUUAGAUAAAAAACCAAUGCCCUCCGGGGCUCCUUGGUGAUUCAUGAUAACUCAACGAAUCGCAUGGCCUUGCGCCGGCGAUGGUUCAUUCAAAUUUCUGCCCUAUCAACUUUCGAUGGUAGAAUAGUGGUCUACCAUGGUCUCAACGGGUAACGGGGAAUUAGGGUUCUAUUCCGGAGAGGGAGCCUGAGAAACGGCUACCACAUCCAAGGAAGGCAGCAGGCGCGCAAAUUACCCAAUCCCAAUUCGGGGAGGUACGAUCAUCCUUUCCUUAUAUUUCCAGGGGAUGCUAACGGUGGUUUAGGUAGUGACAAUAAAUACUGAUACAGGGCUCUUUCGGGUCUUGUAAUUGGAAUGAGUACAAUCUAAAUCCCUUAACGAGGAACAAUUGGAGGGCAAGUCUGGUGCCAGCAGCCGCGGUAAUUCCAGCUCCAAUAGCGUAUAUUAAAGUUGUUGCAGUUAAAAAGCUCGUAGUUGAACCUUGGGUCUGGCCGAUCUGUCUUCCUAAACGUUGUACGGAUUCGGUCGGACCUUUCCUUCUGGGGAACCCUAUGCCCUUUACUGGGCGUANCGGGGAGCCAGGACUUUUACCUUGAAAAAAUUAGAGUGUUCAAAGCAGGCCUAUGCUCGAAUACAUUAGCAUGGAAUAAUGGAAUAGGACAGCAGUUCUAU
Molecule: ribosomal RNA, 804 nt
Filed under: Hydropunctaria sp.
Lineage: Eukaryota; Fungi; Ascomycota; Eurotiomycetes; Verrucariales; Verrucariaceae
Description: SSU rRNA
Rfam family: Eukaryotic small subunit ribosomal RNA
Source: RNAcentral